CCUACGGGAGGCAGCAGUGAGGAAUAUUGGUCAAUGGGCGCGAGCCUGAACCAGCCAAAUCGCGUGAGGGAAGACGGUCCUAUGGAUUGUAAACCUCUUUUGUCGGGGAGCAAAAGACGCCACGCGUGGCGUUCCGAGAGUACCCGAAGAAAAAGCAUCGGCUAACUCCGUGCCAGCAGCCGCGGUAAUACGGAGGAUGCGAGCGUUAUCCGGAUUUAUUGGGUUUAAAGGGUGCGCAGGCGGAAGGUCAAGUCAGCGGUAAAAUUGAGAGGCUCAACCUCUUCGAGCCGUUGAAACUGGUUGUCUUGAGUGAGCGAGAAGUAUGCGGAAUGCGUGGUGUAGCGGUGAAAUGCAUAGAUAUCACGCAGAACUCCGAUUGCGAAGGCAGCAUACCGGCGCUCAACUGACGCUCAUGCACGAAAGUGUGGGUAUCGAACAGGAUUAGAUACCCCAGUAGUC
RNAcentral lists this ribosomal RNA (459 nucleotides) under uncultured bacterium. RNAcentral's name for it is "partial 16S ribosomal RNA". It matches the Rfam family "Bacterial small subunit ribosomal RNA", at positions 338 to 795 of the family's 1533-position model. The record is from RNAcentral.